GGUCGGGCUGAUAACUAGGCGGUGGUUCAAUGACUUCUCAACAACCCCUGCCCUUUAAGUGCCCGAGAGAUUAAGCUUCUUUCGCGGUCGAUCUUACACAUUUGCUUUCCUUUCCCCAUGUUUGUACAUGUUUAUUCGGCCGCGACAUUU
Molecule: small nucleolar RNA, 150 nt
Filed under: Exophiala dermatitidis NIH/UT8656
Lineage: Eukaryota; Fungi; Ascomycota; Eurotiomycetes; Chaetothyriales; Herpotrichiellaceae
Source: RNAcentral